Molecule: long non-coding RNA, 309 nt
Filed under: Volvox carteri
Lineage: Eukaryota; Viridiplantae; Chlorophyta; Chlorophyceae; Chlamydomonadales; Volvocaceae
Description: long non-coding RNA (VCAR_LNC000963)
Source: RNAcentral
UGUUCGUCAAACUUUUGGCUGCCAGAGAGGCCUGUCAUGCUCUUUUGUGCUGUGGCAGAAUUCCUCAGUUUGGUGUCAGUUUUGCCGACAAGUUGUACAACACCGGGUUUUGCACGGCGUGUCCCUUGAGUAGGACCCCGGCUUUGAUACCUCAACACUACGGGAGAUGGAUAAUAAUAAUGCAGUUGUUGUUAGGUAAAAGCUUUCCAUACAACUGUAGAGCCACACCGUGCUGGCUACAAUCGCCACAGGACUGCCGCGGCAGACCGCGGCAUCCAUGCAUGCAUUUCCGAAGCGGCAUGAAGCCUU